This is a ribosomal RNA of 1415 nucleotides. It matches the Rfam family "Bacterial large subunit ribosomal RNA", at positions 1501 to 2925 of the family's 2925-position model. The record is from Rfam.
GAAAUGUGCGUCUAAGCAUUUAGGGAGACUGGAUAGGCAAAUCCGUUCAGUCAAUUCUGAGGUGUGAUGGGGAGCGAAAUUAAGUAGCGAAGUAUCUGAUUCCAUGUUGCCAAGAAAAGCCUCUAUGGAGAAGAAUGGUACCCGUACCGCAAACCGACACAGGUAGGUGAGGAGAGAAUCCUAAGACCGUCGGAAGAAUUGUUGUUAAGGAACUAGGCAAAUUGACCCCGUAACUUCGGAAUAAGGGGUGCCUACCGCAAGGUAGGCCACAGUGAAUAGGCUCAGGCAACUGUUUAACAAAAACACAGGUCUCUGCUAAAGCGUAAGCUGAUGUAUAGGGGCUGACGCCUGCCCGGUGCUGGAAGGUUAAGGGGAUUGCUUAGCGCAAGCGAAGGCAUGAACUUAAGCCCCAGUAAACGGCGGCCGUAACUAUAACGGUCCUAAGGUAGCGAAAUUCCUUGUCGGGUAAGUUCCGACCCGCACGAAUGGCGUAAUGAUCUGAGCACUGUCUCAACAACAAAUCCGGUGAAAUUGUAGUGCAAGUGAAGAUGCUUGCUACCCGCAGUAGGACGGAAAGACCCCGUAGAGCUUUACUGCAAUUUAGCAUUGAAUUUCGGUAUUAUCUGUACAGGAUAGGUGGGAGACUGGGAAAUGAUGUCGUCAGGCGUCAUGGAGUCAACCUUGGGAUACCACCCUGAUAUUACUGGAAUUCUAACGAAAGGCCAUGAAACUGGUUGUCGGACAUUGCUAGGUGGGCAGUUUGACUGGGGCGGUCGCCUCCAAAAAUGUAACGGAGGCGCCCAAAGGUUCCCUCAGCGCGGUCGGAAAUCGCGCGUAGAGUGCAAAGGCAGAAGGGAGCCUGACUGCGACACUUACAAGUGGAGCAGGGACGAAAGUCGGGCUUAGUGAUCCGGUGGUACCUCGUGGGAGGGCCAUCGCUUAACGGAUAAAAGCUACCUCGGGGAUAACAGGCUGAUCUCCCCCAAGAGUCCACAUCGACGGGGAGGUUUGGCACCUCGAUGUCGGCUCGUCGCAUCCUGGAGCUGAAGUCGGUUCCAAGGGUUGGGCUGUUCGCCCAUUAAAGCGGCACGCGAGCUGGGUUCAGAACGUCGUGAGACAGUUCGGUCCCUAUCCGCUGCGGGCGUAGGAAAUUUGAGAGGCGCUGUCCUUAGUACGAGAGGACCGGGAUGGACUGACCUCUGGUGCACCAGUUGUUCCGCCAGGAGCACAGCUGGGUAGCUAUGUCGGGAAGGGAUAAACACUGAAAGCAUCUAAGUGUGAAGCCCACCUCAAGAUUAGAUUUCCCUUAGCGUAAGCUAUAAGACCCCUUGAAGACUACAAGGUUGAUAGGUGAGAGGUGUAAGUGUGGUAACAUAUUUAGCUGACUCAUACUAAUAGGUCGAGGACUUGACCAA